This is a non-coding RNA of Pelobates cultripes (western spadefoot toad), 227 nucleotides long. The record is from the annotation of a GenBank genome assembly. NCBI's taxonomy places the organism in Eukaryota, Metazoa, Chordata, Amphibia, Anura, Pelobatidae.
GAGACAUCUUAGGUGGGGGCUCUCUGCUCCCGGAACUUAGACAUAUAUGGUCUUAAGUGUUGUUUAAGCAUCAAGCAUUUCCUGAGUCCAAGUUAGCCAAUUUUAAUAUAGGAUAUCAUUAAAUUACACCUAUAAGCUUGAGCCGUGGAAUCAAGAUAAAUUCUAUCACAAUCCCUUCUUUUGAUCCAAGGGUCACCCAAAUGUCCAAGGUAUAUCCAGGCCUGCUA